GAAACAUGCCAUGUAACUAAAUUUUCGGUAAUACACAGCAAGAAAUUUUAUACAAACCAGGUAGGGGUCACGACAUCUCUCGGAUCCUACGGGUCAGGCCUAUCGGAUCAUCAAACCGGGAAAGGAAUAUUCCGAUUAGGCCGGAAUUCGAACUCGUAAUCGGAAUACAAUCGUAGCUCCACCAGGGAACGGCUAAGAGUUUGAACCGCGUCUUCAUCAGCCUGCAGCAACAACAGGAGAAAUCAAGCCCGAGGAGAAUAGUGCACAGAAAAUCCGUUACCCGAUUCUACGAGUCGGAUCUGAAUAUUCCGUUUUGGGAAAGGACAUGGUUCCCCGUGCUAAUGUUGUUGAUGUCACUCUCCUUUUACGGCCUCGCAGUUCUUCUUUUCCGAACUCUCGACUUUGAUUUUACAUCCUCUUUUGUCUCUGCUACCUCAGAAGUUGUGCAGGUUACAUAUGGGUCAGUAUUAAGUUGAUGCAUGAAAGAAACAAAAUUUCGAUUGCAUUCCCAUAUGAUGUGCCCUAUGGUUCCAGCAGUGGGCAAAAGAAGAAGUGAAUGGUCGAGUGACGAAUAAGUGUAGUAGAAUAUCAUAUUCGAUGAAACCAAACAAGUAAAAAAGAAUUAUUGGACUCCAUAGUUGUGGAUACUGAAACCAGUAUGGGUGAACCAUGCAAGCUGGUUAGAUGCGUGGGACAGAAGGCUGGUAGUACCUGCUAGUGCGGCUAUGCAGUGGAAGAGAAGGAGCCUAAAUCGACCCCCUUCUUUUUUUCUUUGAAAAAAGCAGUUAGGAUGGGGGAGUUAGCAAAGUUAGGCAAGAUUGGAAUGGGCAUAGGAACAUGUAUGGAUGUACCAGUUCGGCUAAUGUGGGUCUAGGUUGACUUAUUACGAUGAAAACAGACAGAACUAAAGGGCUCGGUUACUGGUUUUCCUGGUGGAGAUGAUUCCAACAGCUACUAGGUUGUUAGGAAUGUCCCUGACUCAUUCACCAAACAAGGUGACCCUAUUAAGAGUGGAACCAUCAUCAGGCUACAACAUAUGAGGACGAGGAGAUAGCUGCACAACCACUUGCAUAUCUUUGUGCGGAAUUCUUUCUCCGUUAGGCUAUGCAUCCAUCUCCCAUAUCAUGCAACCUGGAGUUCAGUAGGCUGGAAUUUUUCUCUCCCUAAAUAAAUGAUACCUGUUGCGUAUUUACGGCUUAUAUGUUGGAAAUACUUCUGGAAAGUUUAUUCUAAUGGCACAUUGUGGACCUUGAUUGAGUACACGAAAUGUAAAAAUAUGGAGUUUUAUGGAUGAUCUUGGCUAUAUAUUUUCAUGUAUACUGUGUUCCAGGAUGCUCAAAAGAAAAAAUUAUACUAACGAAAAUGGAAUGGUAAAAGAUGGUUAUUUCUUGUAUAACGUUAAUGUGGUAAAACAUACGGGUAAAGUACAUGUGUUGAUAUAUCUUUUGAAAGAAAAUUAAGGAUUUUUAUUUACACCGUGGGAUGGGAUAAUGCCUGGACAUAACAGUAUGUUUAACCCCUUUUGUUUCACUGCUCUGGAGAGGAGUUUGCGGUGAUUUAAUCAUCUUAGAUGUCCCUUUUCUGUCUGUUAGUUAGUAGCAUGAUAUAUUUUGAUCUCCUAGCCAAUUGUUGUUGAAGUCGGAAGUUUUCAGAGCUGAAAUUAGUUGGUGGAAAUUUUGCAGGUGAGUUACUUCGGUGAUGACAAUAAGCCUGAUACUGGGGACUAUUGGAUGUUGGGGUUGUCCUAAUUCAUUAGAAAUUCAACAUUCUUGUUGAUCUUUACCAUAGCUCAGUAAAUCGAUUUCUAUCUUUCUUCCUCGUGUUGUUAGACUUGAGAUUGAGGGAAGCGAGAAAACUUGGAGGGCAAGAGCAAAGGAUCAGGCUUCAACACGUUGACACUGGAGGUUAUUUUCACAGUCAUGACAAGAAACACACCCGAAUUGCUGGAGGUUAGCAGAUGAGUUCCAAGAUCUUGAUGGCAGUAAGAGUUGUCAUUUCACUUAAGUACCUUAUGCUACAUUUAUCAGCCUUACUAUUUUCAUUUCUAGAUUCCUACAGGUGUGUGGUGUAAGAGAAGCAGCAGAAGGAGUUUACCUGCCAGUUGCUGGGAGCAAGUAAAGUGUUUGUUGUUGUAAGCCUAUUAUGAGUUCUCUGGAUCUCAUCCAACCUCUUGUGCUUUUUCAUCGCCUAUUAUGAGUUUUCUGGAUCAGUGAUUAGUAGAGUAGUAUAGUACUUUUAAGUAGUUUUCUCAAAGUAUUUAUUAGCAGUAUAUAAUUGCGUUAAUUGCGCAGUAUUAAACUAAAAUCUAAUACAAUGAUGAGAACAUUUGUACUG
Molecule: long non-coding RNA, 2334 nt
Organism: Solanum dulcamara
Lineage: Eukaryota; Viridiplantae; Streptophyta; Magnoliopsida; Solanales; Solanaceae
Exons: 3
Source: RefSeq, a predicted model, not a curated record